Molecule: ribosomal RNA, 372 nt
Filed under: uncultured bacterium
Lineage: Bacteria
Description: bacterial SSU rRNA
Rfam family: Bacterial small subunit ribosomal RNA
Source: RNAcentral
ACUCCUACGGGAGGCAGCAGUGGGGAAUAUUGCACAAUGGGCGCAAGCCUGAUGCAGCAACGCCGCGUGAGCGAUGAAGGCCUUCGGUCGUAAAGCUCUGUCUCAAGGAAGAAUAAAUGACGGUACUUGAGGAGGAAGCCCGGCUAACUACGUGCCAGCAGCCGCGGUAAUACGUAGGGGCAAGCGUUAUCCGGAAUCACUGGGCGUAAAGGGUGCGUAGGCGGUUUUUCAAGUUCAGAAGUGAAAAGGCUAUGGCUCAACCAUAGUAAGCUUUUGAAACUGUUAAACUUGAGUGCAGGAGAGGAAAGUGGAAUUCCUAGUGUAGAGGUGAAAUUCGUAGAUAUUAGGAGGAACACCAGUGGCGAAGGCGAC